RNAcentral lists this ribosomal RNA (253 nucleotides) under uncultured bacterium. Its description in RNAcentral is "partial 16S ribosomal RNA". It matches the Rfam family "Bacterial small subunit ribosomal RNA", at positions 524 to 776 of the family's 1533-position model. The record is from RNAcentral.
UACGUAGGGGGCGAGCGUUGUCCGGAAUUAUUGGGCGUAAAGAGCGUGUAGGCGGUUCGGUAAGUCUGUCGUGAAAUCCUGGGGCUCAACCUCGGGCGUGCGAUGGAUACUGCCGGGCUAGAGGGUGGUAGAGGCGAGUGGAAUUCCCGGUGUAGCGGUGAAAUGCGCAGAUAUCAGGAGGAACACCGGUGGCGAAGGCGGAUCUCUGGGCCAUUACUGACGCUGAGGAGCGAAAGCGUGGGGAGCGAACAGG